AGGUGAAUCCUGAUAAGGUGCAGCAAUUUGAAGAUGCUGGCUUUUCUUUCAUUGGCAAAGAUGAAACUGGUUGCGGCAUGGAGAUUGUUGAGCUGCCUAACCAUCCGUACUUUAUUGGCGUUCAAUUUCAUCCUGAAUUUAAAUCAAGGCCAGGAAAACCAUCUGCUGUGUUCUUAGGGCUUAUAGCAGCAGCAUGUGGAUAGCUUGUUUCUCUUUUGAAGAAGGGUGGAACACCGACUCAUGGACUCUUAGCAAUGGUGAAAAAUUGCAUCGAAAUGGAACAACUCUUGCCAAUGGAUCUUUAGAUGGGAUUUAUCGCAAUGGGAAUGGUGUACAUGUCCAAGAAACAAUAUUUUGUUAAAAGGCCAGAAGAGAAGCCAACAAUUUUGUUUGAUUUUCCAUAUAACAAUACAAAUAGACCUUUAA
Molecule: long non-coding RNA, 426 nt
Organism: Solanum stenotomum
Lineage: Eukaryota; Viridiplantae; Streptophyta; Magnoliopsida; Solanales; Solanaceae
Exons: 3
Source: RefSeq, a predicted model, not a curated record